UAAUAACCCUAAUUCCUCAGUCUUCUCCUUCACGCCGUUUCUGGAUGCUCAUACAUUCUUUUACAAAAACCCUGUUUCUCUUCUGCUUCAACCUCUUCAAUAACCUAAACCUUCAUUCACAAUCACGCUUCCUGGGUAUCGCUAUGAAGGUCAAUCUAUAUUUCUUUUUCAAACCUUAAUUGAAGCUUUCAGCCGAUCUCGCCCAUCGUCGUGAUUCAAAGGAAGAAGGGGUUACAAUUAAGUUUAGGCCUUUAAGGGGUGAAGAUGGCCCUUCUAAUGGGCAUGUAAGGCAAUGUUGGCAAUAGUUGGAGAACAACAAAUGACAUCAAUGACAUGUGGGCAAGAUUUAAACUUUUUGUGACAGAUGUUAUGUGGAUAACUAAAGUUAUUUGUUAACUUAUCAGUACACUAACUUUUUUUUUUCUUGAAUUGCUGCUGACCUUAAUGACAAAUACGUAGCGUAUGAAGGACCUGGUGAUGGAAUGGUAGGAAAAAACUUUCUAAAAUGUUCAUCUUUUGUCGACUGAUAAAUGAGAUUCUUCUGGACAAUAACAAGCCAAAGAUACAAACAAUUCUCAGCAAGAUUGAUGCCAUCAAUAAUGCCUUGGGUCUUUGACAGGUAUGGACUUUUCAAGCAAAGGAUCUCUAAAGUAGGACAAGAAGAUAUGGUAGAAGAUUGGCUUGAGGUUGGAAAUUCACCUCGGCACUUAGUUUAGCAUCUAAGUGAGUAAGUGUAGACUUAACUUUUAAAAUAAUAUAAAAAGAAUCCAAAAGCAUCAGUUAGAGAGGAUUCAAUUCCUAAAUGAAAAUAAUAUAAAAAUAAUAUAUAUAUAUUAUAUGUAUAAAUGAAAAUAUUUGGACUGACGUGGCGCAAUAUUAGAGCUUCUCAAUGUGAGUUUUGGCUCCAAAAAUUCGGGUCCGCUAUUUUGUUAAGUGGAUCCCCAAAUACCCAUUUUUGACCCGCUUUAAAAACAUUCUAAACACGACUUCUUUCCCACCACACAAACCCUAAUUUCAUUUUCAAUUAGCUUCCUCACCGCCGUUCUUCUCUACAUCUCCAUUACGUUAGUGAAUCAGUGGUAAUGGUACAAACAAUUAUUUGGAUAAAUCAAAAUCAGGUAUGUUCGUUCCACCGCCCUAAAAUUCUAUUCCCUCCUAAUGUUUCUUCUUCCUUUUAUCAAUAUAUUUAAGGUUUUUGUUCCUUCUGGAGUUUUCUUUUUAUUAGGGUUUCCUUCUGAACCCAUGUGCUUGAGGUUUAUUCCUAUAGAUAAAUUGGAAACGCAUCAAAAUUUCUGAUUGAUUUGAAGCCAGGGGUAGAAUUAAAAGAUACUAAUCAAAUCUGAAGCAAGUUUAGAAGAAGAAGCAAUUCACAAAAGAAAGGAGAGUGCUAUUGCCGAGUCAUUGAAAACGAAAGUUACACCGGAGACUGAGAUUGCCGGCAAGAAGAAAAACGCAAAAGGAUGCGUUGUCGAUUGUGAAAUAUUUUGACCAACAGUCCAAGUUGGGAUAAAAAAUUAAAAAUGGAUUGAACAUGAUAUUUUGUUUGUAAUUUAUUUCCAACUAAAUACAUCGGCUUUACCAUCAUAUUUUGUGCUUUUUUCUCUUUGCAGUUUUCAUUUUUCUGAUUUCUUUAUGCUAAAUUCAUGUAAACUAUAUCCCCUUAAGAUGUUCGUGUGGUUUAUAAAUGUCAAAGUUAUUUGUGAACAGGUUAUCUUUUCGAUGAUGGAAGGCAUGCACUUCGAAGAUUAGGAACACUUUGUGAGCAGAUUCAAGAACUAAAAGGAGUUGCUAUUAUCUUGAUGACAUAUGGUGAUGUCAGAGCUAGAGCUGGUCGACAAUGACUUACCUAAAGAAAUUAAAAUGACAGCGUCAUAGUAGCAUUAAGUGUCUUAUAACUUCUAAUACACAAUGAGAUUAUGUGUAUCCAUAUCAACCGGUAAUUGGUGGCAAAAUAGGCUGGUUGGGUUGAUCAAAACACAUAACUUUAUAUCAUGACAUUGCGUUGUCCAACCAACCUGCCAACAAAAAUUUCUUUUAAUCUCUCAAGUAUUAUAAAUAUUAAAUAUGUUGUGCAAUUAUAACUUAUUUUAUAUAAAAUUUACACAUUUGACCCGUUUGAGACGAAAAACCUAUUCACUCAUAUAACGCGUCGAAACUGCCACUUCUACACACUAGACACAGGGCACACUUUAUAAGAAAUUUUGUCAGGUUGCUGGAAGAUUUGGAAAGUUGUAGCAAAAUGAUUGGAAUAUUUAUCUUUUGAAUUUGGGAGGCAAAAUAAUAUGGGAUGGUCUCCAUUUGCCUUAACAUAUUUUUUUUUAUGGAAAAAAUGUAGAAUAUUUAUAAUACUUUCUUUGUAUUUAUUUUAUUUAUAUCACUUUGUUUGUAUUUAUUUUA
Molecule: long non-coding RNA, 2397 nt
Organism: Helianthus annuus (common sunflower)
Lineage: Eukaryota; Viridiplantae; Streptophyta; Magnoliopsida; Asterales; Asteraceae
Exons: 4
Source: RefSeq, a predicted model, not a curated record